RNAcentral lists this long non-coding RNA (388 nucleotides) under Zostera marina. Its description in RNAcentral is "long non-coding RNA (ZMAR_LNC001362)". The record is from RNAcentral. Lineage: Eukaryota; Viridiplantae; Streptophyta; Magnoliopsida; Alismatales; Zosteraceae.
AGUGCUGGUUCGUUGGAGUAAUUCCGAGGAGGAGGAUGCAACAUGGGAAGUCAAGGAGUACCUGAGAAAUGCUUUUCCAUCUAUCAACAAUGAGGGCAUGUUGAUUUCCGAAGAAGGCAGACCUGAUGCGAUCAACAUCGAUAUCGAUCUCACCGGGAUCACAUCAGACCUGGAGAGGGAGCUGGCCGUCGACGCUGUCGCCGGAGAGGAGUCCUCAAAUGCUAGAGCAAAACCCAACAUUGAGGAAGGAGCAAAGGACCUGGAUGCAAGUACAAGAAGGUCGGUUAGAAACAAGAGAGUGCCAAUUAAAUUCAAGGACUACGUUGCAAAUUUUCCAAUUUGAGUAUUGUAAUAAUUAGUAUAAAAUCCAAACCUAGGUUAUGAGACG